CCGAGUUAGGGUCGCCUCCCAUAGCGCCCGACCUCCCAACCCUUUGUCUAUGUUACCUCAGUUGCUUCGGUGGGCCGGACUCGAUCCUCCCUUCGGGGAGGUCGUGACCGCCGGUCUAUGGCUGGAGAGCCGCCCGCCGACGGCCACAAACCAAAACUCUUGAUACCAAAACCUGUCGUCUAAAUUUUUGAUUAUAAUAAAAACA
RNAcentral lists this unclassified non-coding RNA (205 nucleotides) under uncultured Ascomycota. Its description in RNAcentral is "sequence contains ITS1". Lineage: Eukaryota; Fungi; Ascomycota. The record is from RNAcentral.